GCUGACGUAGCUCAGUUGGUAGAGCAGCUGAUUUGUAAUCAGCAGGUCGUCGGUUCAAUCCCGACCGUCAGCU
This 73-nucleotide transfer RNA is filed under the name Gemmatimonas sp. RNAcentral describes it as "tRNA-Thr". It matches the Rfam family "tRNA". From Rfam's summary of the family: Transfer RNA (tRNA) molecules are approximately 80 nucleotides in length. Their secondary structure includes four short double-helical elements and three loops (D, anti-codon, and T loops). Further hydrogen bonds mediate the characteristic L-shaped molecular structure. tRNAs have two regions of fundamental functional importance: the anti-codon, which is responsible for specific mRNA codon recognition, and the 3' end, to which the tRNAs corresponding amino acid is attached (by aminoacyl-tRNA synthetases). tRNAs cope with the degeneracy of the genetic code in two manners: having more than one tRNA (with a specific anti-codon) for a particular amino acid; and 'wobble' base-pairing, i.e. permitting non-standard base-pairing at the 3rd anti-codon position. RNAcentral also lists the same sequence under 4 other names. Lineage: Bacteria; Pseudomonadati; Gemmatimonadota; Gemmatimonadia; Gemmatimonadales; Gemmatimonadaceae. The record is from RNAcentral.